Molecule: unclassified non-coding RNA, 408 nt
Filed under: soil metagenome
Description: partial contains 5.8S ribosomal RNA, internal transcribed spacer 2, and large subunit ribosomal RNA
Rfam family: 5.8S ribosomal RNA (bases 1-120)
Source: RNAcentral
GAUGAAGAACGUAGCGAAAUGCGAUAAGUAAUGUGAAUUGCAGAAUUCAGUGAAUCAUCGAAUCUUUGAACGCACCUUGCGCUCCUUGGCAUUCCGAGGAGCAUGCCUGUUUGAGUGUCAUUAAAUUCUCAAGACCUGUCUGCUUUUUUGAUAGGUAUUGGAUUUUGGGGGUUGCAGGCUGUUUCAAAUAAAUAGCCUUGCUCUCCUUGAAUGUAUUAGUGGAGAAAAGCCAUUGAACUCCAUUGGUGUGUUAAAACCUAUCAAUGCCAGGAGCAAUAUCACUACUUCUCUCUGCUGUCUAACUGUGACUGUCUGUAUUAAUUAGUAUGGAUGGGGACAACUUGACCAACUUGACCUCAAAUCAGGUAGGACUACCCGCUGAACUUAAGCAUAUCAAUAAGCGGAGGA